Molecule: long non-coding RNA, 1235 nt
Organism: Pseudopipra pipra
Lineage: Eukaryota; Metazoa; Chordata; Aves; Passeriformes; Pipridae
Exons: 2
Source: RefSeq, a predicted model, not a curated record
UUCAAAAGCAGAGAAUAAAAGUUUAAUCUCAUUGGAGACAAGUUCUGAAUAAGAAAAUUCCCUCAUCCUAUUCACCCCUUUUCCAGGGGACCUUGUCCCUGUUUGCCAGCCUGCUGCCCACUGAUUUCCCACUGUGCACACACACCCAGGCAAAGAACAGCCCCCGUCACAUUUAGCUGGAAUUGUGCUCCUCAUUUCAGCAAAAGAUGAUGUUCAGCAGAUCAACCCCUUCUUUGCCACCUCUAAAAGGGGAUAACAUGUAUUUUACUGCACAAGAGAUGAGGCUAAUACUGAUUAUUCCCCGGAUAUACACAACGUCACAGGAGGCUGGAAAGGACUGUGAUGCGUGCAGGCAGAGGAUUCACCCUCCUACAGCAAGUUCUUACUUUCUAUUCUCCAAACUCACAGUUUUUUUAUCCUAUAGACCUGAAGUGUUCCAUCAUCUCUGUGGAAGGGAGAAGAUAAUUUACACCAGCUCAGAAGAAAACACCACUGCUUUUUCCUCCCCGCCCCAGACGAGCAGAGUCUACGUGAAGAUUAACUGGGAGACUCGGAGGAAGAAAGAAUACAGGGGGAAGAAGCCAAAGACUCCUGGGAUGCACUUCUGAAGUUUUCCCUGCUCCUGUCCCCUACACUCUUCUACUCCACAGCUUCCACAGGAAUCACGGGGGAGCCUUCACUCCCACCCUGAUGACUAAGUCACUGUCCAAGGAGAUGGAUGACAGGGAUUUGUAGCCUUCUCAUAAAUGUGGUUUUCAUCUUUGUUUGCCCCAGAUCUUCAUGCAGGGUUCUUCAAUGUAAACACAAGAAAGGCUCAUCUUUGAGCAAAUGAGACUUAUUUCUGAGGCUUCACAUAGUGGGCAGAUUCAGACACCUCUGCUUUUGCUCCUGGAAUGGUUUCCUGCACAAGCCCCUCAAGAGACUGACUGAACAUAACCAGGACAGUUCUGAAACUCCCCAGCCUGCCAAUAUAGAAGUUAUUGAGCAACAGCUUCUUUUUAACAGACUCUUUCCCUAGAACUGCCCUGUGUGUCAGUGCCCAGUACAAACAGAUUUCACUUCCUCCAGCAGAUUUUAAUUAUGUGCUCAUUGCAGCUGCCUCUCAACUAGAAGUACAUUUUCACUCAGCUUUCCUAAGUCACAAAAGCAUCUCCCCUGUGCCUUAAUUUCUCUUAGUACUCUGAUGCCCCUUUCCUGCUUUAUAUGAACUUCAGUAAACAUGUGGGUAUCAGUUG